AAGUCGUAACAAGGUCUCCGUAGGUGAACCUGCGGAGGGAUCAUUACCGAACGGCCCGAUGGGCCUUCGAACCCUCAAACCAGUGGAAGAGAUAUGUGCCUCGGCGCCCCUGCUGGGGCGCCGCUCAAAUGCGUCCGUCUCUGUGUCUGAACAUUGAAAUUGAGGAUCAAAACUUUCAACGAAGGAUCUCUUGGCUCUC
RNAcentral lists this unclassified non-coding RNA (199 nucleotides) under fungal sp. RNAcentral's name for it is "partial internal transcribed spacer region". The stretch from base 1 to 46 matches the Rfam family "Eukaryotic small subunit ribosomal RNA", at positions 1786 to 1831 of the family's 1831-position model. The record is from RNAcentral. Lineage: Eukaryota; Fungi.